GGUGCGUAACGCGUUGGUGACCUGCCCCGAAGUGUGGGAUAACAGUUCGAAAGGACUGCUAAUACCGCAUGUGGUCACGAGGGUUAGAGGCUUUGUGACUAAAGCAGUAAUGCGCUUCGGGAGGGACCUGCGUCCCAUCAGCUAGUUGGUGAGGUAACGGCCCACCAAGGCUACGACGGGUAGGGGACCUGAGAGGGUGGUCCCCCACACUGGCACUGAAACACGGGCCAGACACCUACGGGUGGCAGCAGUAGGGAAUAUUGGGCAAUGGGCGAAAGCCUGACCCAGCAACGCCGCGUGCAUGAUGAAGGUCUUCGGAUCGUAAAAUGCUUUUCUGAGAGAUGAGAAAGGACAGUAUCUCAGGAAUAAGUCUCGGCUAACUACGUGCCAGCAGCCGCGGUAAAACGUAGGAGGCGAGCGUUAUCCGGAUUUACUGGGCGUAAAGCGCGUGCAGGCGGUUCGGUAAGUUGGAUGUGAAAGCUCCUGGCUCAACUAGGAGAGGUCGUUCAAUACUACCGGACUUGAGAGCGGUAGAGGGAGGUGGAAUUCCCGGUGUAGUGGUGAAAUGCGUAGAUAUCGGGAGGAACACCAGUGGCGAAAGCGGCCUCCUGGACCGUUUCUGACGCUCAGACGCGAAAGCUAGGGUAGCAAACGGGAUUAGAGACCCCGGUAGUCCUAGCUGUAAACGAUGUGAACUUGGCGUCGGCGGGUUCAAAGCCGUCGGUGCUGAAGCUAACGCGAUAAGUUCACCGCCUGGGGACUACGGCCGCAAGGUU
This 776-nucleotide ribosomal RNA is filed under the name uncultured bacterium. RNAcentral's name for it is "bacterial SSU rRNA". It matches the Rfam family "Bacterial small subunit ribosomal RNA", at positions 105 to 895 of the family's 1533-position model. The record is from RNAcentral.